This 406-nucleotide ribosomal RNA is filed under the name uncultured bacterium. RNAcentral's name for it is "partial 16S ribosomal RNA". It matches the Rfam family "Bacterial small subunit ribosomal RNA", at positions 30 to 526 of the family's 1533-position model. The record is from RNAcentral.
AUUGAACGCUGGCGGCAGGCCUAACACAUGCAAGUCGAGCGAGCGGCGGACGGGUGAGUAAUGUCUGGGAAACUGCCUGAUGGAGGGGGAUAACUACUGGAAACGGUAGCUAAUACCGCAUACCAUCAGAUGUGCCCAGAUGGGAUUAGCUAGGAGGUGGGGUAAUGGCGCACCAAGGCGACGAUCCCGAGCUGGUCUGAGAGGAUGACAAGCCACACUGGCACUGAGACACGGUCCAGACUCCUACGGGAGGCAGCAGUGGGGAAUUUUGCACAAUGGGGGCAAGCCUGAUGCAGCCAUGCCGCGUGUAUGAAGAAGGCCUUCGGGUUGUAAAGCACUUUCGGCGGAGAGGCGUUACUCGCAGAAGAAGCACCGGCUAACUCCGUGCCAGCCGCCGCGGUAAUUC